CCCUUAGAUGUCCUGGGCUGCACGCGCGCUACACUGAUGUGUCCAGUAAGCACCUAACCUCUUCCGAAAGGAACGGGUAACCUUUGCAAAGCACAUCGUGAUGGGGAUAGAUUAUUGCAAUUAUUAGUCUUGAACGAGGAAUUCUUAGUAAGCACAAGUCAUCAGCUUGUGUUGAUUACGUCCCUGCCCUUUGUACACACCGCCCGUCGCUCCUACCGAUUGAAUGUUCCGGUGAGCUCUUCGGACUGCGCGGUCUGCAGUUUCUGCGUUCCGUGCGGAAAGUUGCGCAAACCUUAACAUUUAGAGGAAGGAGAAGUCGUAACA
This 324-nucleotide ribosomal RNA is filed under the name uncultured eukaryote. RNAcentral describes it as "partial 18S ribosomal RNA". It matches the Rfam family "Eukaryotic small subunit ribosomal RNA", at positions 1470 to 1796 of the family's 1831-position model. The record is from RNAcentral.